AUAUGUUCUUCGUGACAUGGCGUACUGCUCAGUAACACGUGGAUAACCUGCCCUUGGGUCCGGCAUAACCCCGGGAAACUGGGGAUAAUUCCGGAUAACGCACAUAUGCUGGAAUGCUUUAUGCGUCAAAUGGAUUCGUCUGCCCAAGGAUGGGUCUGCGGCCUAUCAGGUAGUAGUGGGUGUAAUGUACCUACUAGCCGACGACGGGUACGGGUUGUGAGAGCAAGAGCCCGGAGAUGGAUUCUGAGACAUGAAUCCAGGCCCUACGGGGCGCAGCAGGCGCGAAAACUUUACAAUGCGGGAAACCGUGAUAAGGGGACACCGAGUGCCAGCAUCAUAUGCUGGCUGUCCGGGUGUGUAAAAUACACCUGUUAGCAAGGGCCGGGCAAGACCGGUGCCAGCCGCCGCGGUAACACCGGCGGCCCGAGUGGUGAUCGUGAUUAUUGGGUCUAAAGGGUCCGUAGCCGGUUUGGUCAGUCCUCCGGGAAAUCUGACGGCUUAACCGUUAGGCUUUCGGAGGAUACUGCCAGGCUUGGAACCGGGAGAGGUAAGAGGUACUACAGGGGUAGGAGUGAAAUCUUGUAAUC
RNAcentral lists this ribosomal RNA (587 nucleotides) under Methanosarcina sp. enrichment culture clone B07. RNAcentral describes it as "bacterial SSU rRNA". It matches the Rfam family "Archaeal small subunit ribosomal RNA", at positions 60 to 647 of the family's 1478-position model. The record is from RNAcentral. Lineage: Archaea; Methanobacteriati; Methanobacteriota; Methanomicrobia; Methanosarcinales; Methanosarcinaceae.